Molecule: long non-coding RNA, 267 nt
Filed under: Elaeis guineensis (African oil palm)
Lineage: Eukaryota; Viridiplantae; Streptophyta; Magnoliopsida; Arecales; Arecaceae
Description: long non-coding RNA (EGUI_LNC036557)
Source: RNAcentral
GCUCUAGUGUCACUACAUUGCAGACUUGAGACUCAUCUAUCCGAAGGAAGCGAUCCAUGCACUGGUCUAUCCGGAUCAAUCACCAUCUCCAUGAUGAUCCUAUGAUUAGGAGCAAUUUAGGAAUUAACCACUGAUGACACAUGUCUCAAAUUCGUAACUCUUUGAGAAUAUAUGUCAUCAUCUUGUUAAUCCCUUAGAUGAUUCAUAGGCACAUAAAUAUGAAUGGUAAUAUAAAUAUCCAAUAAAUAUAAAACUAUAUCCUAGAGA